CCUACGGGAGGCAGCAGUGGGGAAUAUUGGACAAUGGGCGAAAGCCUGAUCCAGCCAUGCCGCGUGUGUGAAGAAGGUCUUCGGAUUGUAAAGCACUUUAAGUUGGGAGGAAGGGCAGUAAGCGAAUACCUUGCUGUUUUGACGUUACCGACAGAAUAAGCACCGGCUAACUCUGUGCCAGCAGCCGCGGUAAUA
Molecule: ribosomal RNA, 195 nt
Filed under: uncultured Pseudomonas sp.
Lineage: Bacteria; Pseudomonadati; Pseudomonadota; Gammaproteobacteria; Pseudomonadales; Pseudomonadaceae
Description: partial 16S ribosomal RNA
Rfam family: Bacterial small subunit ribosomal RNA
Source: RNAcentral